This 750-nucleotide ribosomal RNA is filed under the name uncultured fungus. RNAcentral describes it as "eukaryotic LSU rRNA". The stretch from base 123 to 750 matches the Rfam family "Eukaryotic large subunit ribosomal RNA", at positions 1 to 649 of the family's 3401-position model. Lineage: Eukaryota; Fungi. The record is from RNAcentral.
GAUGANNCUCNAAAUCAGUGGCGGCGUGGCAUGACCCCCGAGCGUAGUGACACUAUUUUUGCUCCGUGGAUUUCGUGCGACGUUGGCCAGAACUGGAUGUCACAGUCCAACUUCUCAAAGGUUGACCUCGGAUCAGGUAGGGAUACCCGCUGAACUUAAGCAUAUCAAUAAGCGGAGGAAAAGAAACCAACAGGGAUUGCCUCAGUAACGGCGAGUGAAGCGGCAACAGCUCAAAUUUGAAAUCCGGCUUCGUGCCCGAGUUGUAAUUUGCAGAGGAUAUUUCGAGGGCGACGUCGGCCUAAGUCCCUUGGAACAGGGCGUCACAGAGGGUGAGAAUCCCGUCUGCGGCCGACGAUCCAUCUCAUGUGAAAUCCCUUCGACGAGUCGAGUUGUUUGGGAAUGCAGCUCAAAAUGGGUGGUAAAUUUCAUCUAAAGCUAAAUACCGGCCAGAGACCGAUAGCGCACAAGUAGAGUGAUCGAAAGAUGAAAAGCACUUUGGAAAGAGAGUUAAAAAGUACGUGAAAUUGUUGAAAGGGAAACGCUUGCCAAUAGACCGAUCGGCGGGCUGCAGUCGGGGAUUUCUUUCCCGGCGUGACGCACCCGUCAUUCGGCCAGCAUCGGUUUCGGUGGCUCGACAAAGAUCGUGGGAACGUGGCUCCUCGGAGUGUUAUAGCCCACGAUGUCAUGGAGCCUACCGGGACCGAGGACCGCGCUUCGGCUAGGAUGCUGGCGUAAUGUUGUUAAGCGACC